Molecule: ribosomal RNA, 2527 nt
Filed under: Escherichia coli
Lineage: Bacteria; Pseudomonadati; Pseudomonadota; Gammaproteobacteria; Enterobacterales; Enterobacteriaceae
Description: partial 23S ribosomal RNA
Rfam family: Bacterial large subunit ribosomal RNA
Source: RNAcentral
UAUCCUGUCUGAAUAUGGGGGGACCAUCCUCCAAGGCUAAAUACUCCUGACUGACCGAUAGUGAACCAGUACCGUGAGGGAAAGGCGAAAAGAACCCCGGCGAGGGGAGUGAAAAAGAACCUGAAACCGUGUACGUACAAGCAGUGGGAGCCUCUUAAUGGGGUGACUGCGUACCUUUUGUAUAAUGGGUCAGCGACUUAUAUUCUGUAGCAAGGUUAACCGAAUAGGGGAGCCGAAGGGAAACCGAGUCUUAACUGGGCGUUAAGUUGCAGGGUAUAGACCCGAAACCCGGUGAUCUAGCCAUGGGCAGGUUGAAGGUUGGGUAACACUAACUGGAGGACCGAACCGACUAAUGUUGAAAAAUUAGCGGAUGACUUGUGGCUGGGGGUGAAAGGCCAAUCAAACCGGGAGAUAGCUGGUUCUCCCCGAAAGCUAUUUAGGUAGCGCCUCGUGAAUUCAUCUCCGGGGGUAGAGCACUGUUUCGGCAAGGGGGUCAUCCCGACUUACCAACCCGAUGCAAACUGCGAAUACCGGAGAAUGUUAUCACGGGAGACACACGGCGGGUGCUAACGUCCGUCGUGAAGAGGGAAACAACCCAGACCGCCAGCUAAGGUCCCAAAGUCAUGGUUAAGUGGGAAACGAUGUGGGAAGGCCCAGACAGCCAGGAUGUUGGCUUAGAAGCAGCCAUCAUUUAAAGAAAGCGUAAUAGCUCACUGGUCGAGUCGGCCUGCGCGGAAGAUGUAACGGGGCUAAACCAUGCACCGAAGCUGCGGCAGCGACACUAUGUGUUGUUGGGUAGGGGAGCGUUCUGUAAGCCUGUGAAGGUGGCCUGUGAGGGUUGCUGGAGGUAUCAGAAGUGCGAAUGCUGACAUAAGUAACGAUAAAGCGGGUGAAAAGCCCGCUCGCCGGAAGACCAAGGGUUCCUGUCCAACGUUAAUCGGGGCAGGGUGAGUCGACCCCUAAGGCGAGGCCGAAAGGCGUAGUCGAUGGGAAACAGGUUAAUAUUCCUGUACUUGGUGUUACUGCGAAGGGGGGACGGAGAAGGCUAUGUUGGCCGGGCGACGGUUGUCCCGGUUUAAGCGUGUAGGCUGGUUUUCCAGGCAAAUCCGGAAAACCAAGGCUGAGGCGUGAUGACGAGGCACUACGGUGCUGAAGCGACAAAUGCCCUGCUUCCAGGAAAAGCCUCUAAGCAUCAGGUAACAUCAAAUCGUACCCCAAACCGACACAGGUGGUCAGGUAGAGAAUACCAAGGCGCUUGAGAGAACUCGGGUGAAGGAACUAGGCAAAAUGGUGCCGUAACUUCGGGAGAAGGCACGCUGAUAUGUAGGUGAAGCGACUUGCUCGUGGAGCUGAAAUCAGUCGAAGAUACCAGCUGGCUGCAACUGUUUAUUAAAAACACAGCACUGUGCAAACACGAAAGUGGACGUAUACGGUGUGACGCCUGCCCGGUGCCGGAAGGUUAAUUGAUGGGGUUAGCGGUAACGCGAAGCUCUUGAUCGAAGCCCCGGUAAACGGCGGCCGUAACUAUAACGGUCCUAAGGUAGCGAAAUUCCUUGUCGGGUAAGUUCCGACCUGCACGAAUGGCGUAAUGAUGGCCAGGCUGUCUCCACCCGGGACUCAGUGAAAUUGAACUCGCUGUGAAGAUGCAGUGUACCCGCGGCAAGACGGAAAGACCCCGUGAACCUUUACUAUAGCUUGACACUGAACAUUGAGCCUUGAUGUGUAGGAUAGGUGGGAGGCUUUGAAGUGUGGACGCCAGUCUGCAUGGAGCCGACCUUGAAAUACCACCCUUUAAUGUUUGAUGUUCUAACGUUGGCCCGUAAUCCGGGUUGCGGACAGUGUCUGGUGGGUAGUUUGACUGGGGCGGUCUCCUCCUAAAGAGUAACGGAGGAGCACGAAGGUUGGCUAAUCCUGGUCGGACAUCAGGAGGUUAGUGCAAUGGCAUAAGCCAGCUUGACUGCGAGCGUGACGGCGCGAGCAGGUGCGAAAGCAGGUCAUAGUGAUCCGGUGGUUCUGAAUGGAAGGGCCAUCGCUCAACGGAUAAAAGGUACUCCGGGGAUAACAGGCUGAUACCGCCCAAGAGUUCAUAUCGACGGCGGUGUUUGGCACCUCGAUGUCGGCUCAUCACAUCCUGGGGCUGAAGUAGGUCCCAAGGGUAUGGCUGUUCGCCAUUUAAAGUGGUACGCGAGCUGGGUUUAGAACGUCGUGAGACAGUUCGGUCCCUAUCUGCCGUGGGCGCUGGAGAACUGAGGGGGGCUGCUCCUAGUACGAGAGGACCGGAGUGGACGCAUCACUGGUGUUCGGGUUGUCAUGCCAAUGGCACUGCCCGGUAGCUAAAUGCGGAAGAGAUAAGUGCUGAAAGCAUCUAAGCACGAAACUUGCCCCGAGAUGAGUUCUCCCUGAGACUUAGAGUCUCCUGAAGGAACGUUGAAGACGACGACGUUGAUAGGCCGGGUGUGUAAGCGCAGCGAUGCGUUGAGCUAACCGGUACUAAUGAACCGUGAGGCUUAACCUUACAACGCCGAAG